UACGUAGGGGGCUAGCGUUGUCCGGAAUCAUUGGGCGUAAAGAGCGUGUAGGCGGCCCGGUAAGUCCGCUGUGAAAGUCGGGGGCUCAACCCUCGGAUGCCGGUGGAUACUGUCGGGCUCGAGUACGGAAGAGGCGAGUGGAAUCCUGGUGUAGCGGUGAAAUGCGCAGAUAUCAGGAGGAACACCAAUGGCGAAGGCAGCACUCUGGGACGGUACUGACGCUGAGACGCGAAAGCGUGGGGAGCAAACAGG
This 252-nucleotide ribosomal RNA is filed under the name uncultured bacterium. Its description in RNAcentral is "partial 16S ribosomal RNA". It matches the Rfam family "Bacterial small subunit ribosomal RNA", at positions 524 to 776 of the family's 1533-position model. The record is from RNAcentral.